This 28-nucleotide non-coding RNA is filed under the name Homo sapiens (human). The record is from RNAcentral. Lineage: Eukaryota; Metazoa; Chordata; Mammalia; Primates; Hominidae.
UAAAUGGAACAUGCGAGUAAGGGCGGAA